RNAcentral lists this ribosomal RNA (497 nucleotides) under uncultured bacterium. Its description in RNAcentral is "partial 16S ribosomal RNA". It matches the Rfam family "Bacterial small subunit ribosomal RNA", at positions 28 to 507 of the family's 1533-position model. The record is from RNAcentral.
GAUGAACGCUGGCGGCGUGCCUAAUACAUGCAAGUCGAGCGAACAGACGAUGAGCUUUCUCCUCUGACGUUAGCGGCGGACGGGUGAGUAACACGUGGAUAACCUACCUAUAAGACUUGGAUAACUUCGUGAAACCGGAUCUAAUACUGGAUAAUAUAUUGAACCGCAUGGUUCAAUAGUUAAAGACGGUUUUGCUGUCACUUAUAGAUGGAUCCGCGCUGCAUUAGCUAGUUGGUAAGGUAACGGCUUACCAAGGCGACGAUGCGUAGCCGACCUGAGAGGAUGAUCGGCCACACUGGAACUGAGACACGGUCCAGACUCCUACGGGAGGCAGCAGUAGGGAAUAUUCCGCAAUGGGCGAAAGCCUGACGUAGCAACGCCGCGUGAGUGAUGAAGGUCUUCGGAUCGUAAAACUCUGUUAUUAGGGAAGAACAAAUGUGUAAGUAACUAUGCACGUCUUGACGGUACCUAAUCAGAAAGCAACGGCUAACUACGUG